RNAcentral lists this long non-coding RNA (524 nucleotides) under Homo sapiens (human). Its description in RNAcentral is "HSALNT0100840". The record is from RNAcentral. Lineage: Eukaryota; Metazoa; Chordata; Mammalia; Primates; Hominidae.
CAAGCGGUCACUCCUUUCCCGUUUUACUGUUAGGGGAAGGAAGCCACAGCCCAGUGGGGAAGUGACAUCCCUGGCCCUUGCCGUUCACCACUUCAAGUCUUGCCCAGCUGUCAGGGCAGGAAUUCAUGUCCCCACGGUGGCAUCUGCUUCCCAGGCUGUGGGGCCAGCAAGGGGCUCAGCUGCUCCCCAGCCCUGCCUUCCUCCAUGGAUCUGACAUGACUCUUUUAUGGGAAUUUACGUAAAAGUAACGCCUUGCUCAGUGUGGAAAAUUUAGGAGCUUCAGGAAAAUAUAAAGAAAAUUAAGGAAGUCAUCUCGCUUCUCAAAUACCGUGUUAAUUUGGCUUCUCCAGCUUUCUGGCAAUACCAAGGGGCAGACCCGGGAAUGGGUUGUUCAGUCACUGCUGUACCGCCCAUGAGCGGCAGAGGGCAGCAAAACACACUCAUCGGACGGGCAUCAAGGGAGCCUGAGGAUAACCAGAGCUUGAAAAUGCAAUCAACCCAUGAAAAUGUUUUUAAAGACCAUG